Molecule: ribosomal RNA, 589 nt
Filed under: Enterocytozoon bieneusi
Lineage: Eukaryota; Fungi; Microsporidia; Enterocytozoonidae
Description: SSU rRNA
Rfam family: Microsporidia small subunit ribosomal RNA
Source: RNAcentral
ACUCCUUACGGGGGAGACAGUCAUGAGACGUGAGUAUAAGACCUGAGUGUAAAGACCUUAGGGUGAAGCAAUUGGAGGGCAAGCUUUGGUGCCAGCAGCCGCGGUAACUCCAACUCCAAGAGUGUCUAUGGUGGAUGCUGCAGUUAAAGGGUCCGUAGUCGUGAAUGCAAUUAAAUGUCGUUGUUCAAUAGCGAUGAGUUUGCUAAUGUUUGCGGAACGGAUAGGGAGUGUAGUAUAGACUGGCGAAGAAUGAAAUCUCAAGACCCAGUUUGGACUAACGGAGGCGAAGGCGACACUCUUAGACGUAUCUUAGGAUCAAGGACGAAGGCAGGAGUAUCGAAAGUGAUUAGACACCGCUGUAGUUCCUGCAGUAAACUAUGCCGACAGCCUGUGUGUGAGAAUACGUGGGCGGGAGAAAUCUUAGUGUUCGGGCUCUGGGGAUAGUACGCUCGCAAGGGUGAAACUUAAAGCGAAAUUGACGGAAGGACACUACCAGGAGUGGAUUGUGCUGCUUAAUUUAACUCAACGCGGGAAAACUUACCAGGGUCAAGUCAUUCGUUGAUCGAAUACGUGAGAAUGGCAGGAGGGG